UCUCAGUUCGGAUUGUAGGCUGCAACUCGCCUACAUGAAGUCGGAAUCGCUAGUAAUCGCGGAUNAGAAUGCCGCGGUGAAUACGUUCCCGGGCCUUGUACACACCGCCCGUCACACCAUGAGAGUCGGGAACACCCGAAGUCCGUAGUCUAACCGCAAGGGGACGCGGCCGAAGGUGGGUUCGAUAAUUGGGGUGAAGUCGUAACAAGGUAUC
This 214-nucleotide ribosomal RNA is filed under the name uncultured bacterium. RNAcentral's name for it is "partial 16S ribosomal RNA". It matches the Rfam family "Bacterial small subunit ribosomal RNA", at positions 1286 to 1500 of the family's 1533-position model. The record is from RNAcentral.